UUUAACACAAUUGCAUUUUGAAUAAAUAUUCUCACCCUCUCUCUCUCUCUUAGGUCCUAUGAUGAUUUCUUAGGUUUGAGGGACCUUUUCUUGCAUUUGUGUCGAUGAGGGGAAGGCCUGCUGCUGAAUAGAUCUAAACUGUGAAUGAAUGUAGCUGCCUCCCAUGCUAUCAUGACAAGAGGCCUCGGUCCAUCUGACUCACGCAUCAAGGUCUUACGGGAGGACAACUUUCAAGUUCAUGGGGGUGCUGUCAUGAGCACACAGUGGCAGCUGCACCAGGGCACAUGCACAGAAGGGAAUCGGCAGAGAGACGUAGCUGGACCAUAGCAUCCUGGACAUGGUCUUUCAGCCUCAACCAGAACAGAGCUUGUGACUGUGCUGGAGGAAAUACAGUUCAUAUUUUCAAGAAACC
RNAcentral lists this long non-coding RNA (412 nucleotides) under Callithrix jacchus (white-tufted-ear marmoset). RNAcentral describes it as "lncRNA (ENSCJAG00000072102.1)". Lineage: Eukaryota; Metazoa; Chordata; Mammalia; Primates; Cebidae. The record is from RNAcentral.